This 233-nucleotide ribosomal RNA is filed under the name uncultured bacterium. RNAcentral describes it as "partial 16S ribosomal RNA". It matches the Rfam family "Bacterial small subunit ribosomal RNA", at positions 15 to 236 of the family's 1533-position model. The record is from RNAcentral.
GAUCCUGGCUCAGGAUGAACGCUAGCUACAGGCUUAACACAUGCAAGUCGAGGGGAAACGAUAUUGGAAGCUUGCUUCCGAUAGGCGUCGACCGGCGCACGGGUGAGUAACGCGUAUCCAACCUGCCCACCACUUGGGGGAUAACCUUGCGAAAGUAAGACUAAUACCCAAUGAUAUCUCUAGAAGACAUCUGAAAGAGAUUAAAGAUUAUCGGUGAUGGAUGGGGAGUGCGU